Molecule: ribosomal RNA, 690 nt
Filed under: Triticum aestivum (bread wheat)
Lineage: Eukaryota; Viridiplantae; Streptophyta; Magnoliopsida; Poales; Poaceae
Description: partial small subunit ribosomal RNA
Source: RNAcentral
AUGAAGCUCCUGGUGGACACCCAGGCCCGGCGCGUGCUGUUCGCGGAGGCGAGCAAGGACGUGGUGGACUUCCUCUUCUCCCUCCUCGCGCUGCCCGUCGGCACCGCCGUCAAGCUGCUGGGGAAGGAGUCCAUGGUCGGCUGCGUCGGCAGCCUCUACGGCAGCGUGGAGAAGCUCGACGGCACCUACGUCCAGCCCGGCGCCGCCAAGGACGCGCUGCUCCACCCCUCUGUCCUCUCGCCGGCGGUAAGUAGCAAGAGCUCCCUCCUAGGCUUGCCGGCGCCGCCGUCCCCACAGGCGAAGACGUUCUACAGAUGCAGCAAGCAGUGCAUCUGCUACAGCGGCGGAUAUGGCAGCAGCCAGCAGGCUAGAUGCAACAGCUGCCGGACUUACAUGACGGAGAGUUGCGGUACCUACUGUCCGUCAUGUAACAACCAGAUGACCACGCCCUUGACGGUCGUGCCGUCGGCCGGGUCCGAAGGUCCGGUGGCGGAGACGGCGGUGGGCAUGAGCGGGAAGGGGUUCGCGCAGGGCAUCGUGACGUACACGGUGAUGGACGAUCUCACCGUGACGCCCAUGUCCUCCAUCUCCAGCAUCACCCUGCUCAACACAUUCGCCGUCAGGGACCUCAGCGCGCUCCAGGAGAAGACCGUGUCCAGCUCGGCUAUGACCAGGGUCUGGAGAUUCUGA